UAUGUGAUCGUCUCUCGCAUAUCAAUAAGCGGAGGAAAAGAAACUAACAAGGAUUCCCCUAGUAACGGCGAGUGAAGCGGGAAGAGCUCAAAUUUGAAAUCUUAAAGGGUUUCCCUUUACGAAUUGUAGUUUAAAGAAGUGUUUUCUGUUGAGGUUUUGGUAAAAGUUCUUUGGAAUAGGACAUCAUAGAGGGUGAGAAUCCCGUAUUUGACCUUUACUUUCAACUUUGUGAUACACUUUCAAAGAGUCGGAUUGUUUGGGAAUGCAGUCCAAAAUGGGUGGUAAAUUUCAUCUAAAGCUAAAUAUUGGCGAGAGACCGAUAGCGAACAAGUACCGUGAGGGAAAGAUGAAAAGAACUUUGAAAAGAGAGUUAAACAGUACGUGAAAUUGUCAAGAGGGAAGCGUUUGACACCAGUGUUGUUUUUCUGAGAAUCAAUUAAAGAACUGUUUAUGCUAAGCUGUUUAGACUUUAUCAGCUAUCUGUUUAGUUUUGAGCUUUUCUUUAAUGCACUUUUCAGUUAACAAGUCAACAUCAAUUUCUUUUGCUGUAAAAAAGCUUGAGGAAGGUGGCUUGAGAUUCGUCUUAAGUGUUUAUAGCCUCUUGCCUAUGCAGUCGGAGAGAUUGAGGUCUGCAGCGUAGAUCCUUCGGGGCUAAAUGCAUUUGUGCUAAGUUAUAGCAUUUUAUAGACAACUUGUUGACUAUGAUUUGUCUUGUAGCUUACUCGCUUAUGUUAUUUUACCUACGCUUAGGAUGUUGAAGACUCUACAGAGAUA
This 774-nucleotide ribosomal RNA is filed under the name uncultured Neocallimastigales. RNAcentral's name for it is "partial large subunit ribosomal RNA". It matches the Rfam family "Eukaryotic large subunit ribosomal RNA", at positions 24 to 633 of the family's 3401-position model. The record is from RNAcentral. Lineage: Eukaryota; Fungi; Neocallimastigomycota; Neocallimastigomycetes; Neocallimastigales.